Molecule: non-coding RNA, 2148 nt
Organism: Sus scrofa (pig)
Lineage: Eukaryota; Metazoa; Chordata; Mammalia; Artiodactyla; Suidae
Source: RefSeq, a predicted model, not a curated record
AUGUUUUCUGAGUGAUUUGGUUAUUGCCUCUAUAUCUGCAGUUUGAUGGGCUCUUUUGCUUUUAUGUAGUAUUUAGCUAAAGUUGGAGAAAAUCUGCAGAGAGCACUACAUACUUCCUUUUUUUUCUUUUUAUUUAACUGCAGACACAGAAUUUAAAACACAGGAAGUUCUGCUUCCUCGACAGCUGCAUUCAAAAGCAGUGCAUUUCUUUCUGUUUCUGACCUGAGUCUGGCCCGUAGGCUACCUCCUGAAGUUGAGAGUGUUUCUGCCUCUGGUGAAGCCUUGUGUUAGCUUUCACACACAUGAUGUUAAGGGGUGAAUUGUCCUUUCUUAUUUUUUCUCAUUUCUCUUACUGCUAUUUUGAAAACUCCUCUAGAGUAUGGGCGAAGAAAGUAAAAGUGAAACUCAGCACAUUUUUAAAAAAUUAGUCAUUGUAUUUUUCAAAGGAAAGUUGCUGAAAGAGAAACCAAGGGAAUCUACAGAUUAGAACAAGAUCUAGGGGUCCUAAAGUUUUCAACCGAAACGUGUUUUUUUCCUUCUUUCUUUUCCAAAAUUGUUGUGCCUAUUUGAACCUGGAUAGCGACAGCUAAAAAUGGCCUGAAUCUGUCACGGAGAGACCCUAGGCUUCUCCUCAGAGCAGCAACGACCGGGAGGACUCUGUGGUGGAAACACUCUGCCCCGCUCUGUCCGUUGCGGUCGCCAUUCAGGCGAGUGUGGCUUUGAGCACUUGACAUAUGCAUCAUUCAGCCACCAAAUCUAUCUGUAAGUCUGGGGAAAGGAGCCACAGAGGAAGACUGUGGGGAGAUGAGAGUCAUGACGAGAAAAACCACUUGUUGUUCUAACCACUUCUCCCAGGAGGAGACUGUGACCCAGGGAGUUUCUCUGGGAGCUUUGCCAUUGAAACCUCUGUACAUCCCCUGGCAACAGACGAUUUGCUGCACUGCUGAAAGGAGCAGACAGGGGCUGGGCGCGGGGAGUGCCGAAGCUCACAAAGGAACUGUCCUCUUAAAUAACAAGCCCACUGCUCGCCAAGGCUGCUGGAGCGCUUUCAUUCAACAGGGGUCUGGAGCAACCACCUCUCUGCCUGGCAUAUAAAUCUCUGUGGGCUUUCUUCCUUCUAGGUUUUUUCCUCUUUUGGGUGUGGAUGGGUUCUACUGUCUGUUGCUUUGCUUUUUUUUUAGUUGAGAAAAAUCUGAUUAAAGAACUGAUGAUUUCAUCUUCAGGUCUCCUGUGUGUUAUGUGAAGUGACACAGUGUUCUUUAUUUCCACACUAAACACAUUAAAAGGUAACUGUAGAAUUUUUAUAUUUGUGCUUCGUGUGCAUUAUACUCGUAGAUGCAACUUUUGUACAGAAAGGCAAGAAAACAGGACGCAUCAUGAAAGGUUUAAAGUGGGAAGUAAAAUUAAUUUACUUCAUAGUACAUGGACUUACAUCAUAUUAUAUAUACUUUUGAAGUUCAGGGAACCUACUAAAGGGGAAGGAGUUUAAUGUUUUCGUGUGGAAUUCUGUCUCUGCCCUGUCGUGGUAUAUUUGGGGUUAAUAUGUGUCCUUUCCAUCUUAAUGUAUGUAAACUUCAUUCUAAAGCUUUGUAAGUAAAUAUCUGAAGGUUUCCAGGUUAUUCUAAGCAAAGUUUGUCAAAACAGAGCACCUGAAAAGGUCCACCCCCUCAUUUAUUGACAAAAUAUCUUAUUUCAGGACUUUGUUUUCAGUAGACAAGUUGCUCAUUGGUGGCUUUUUCCACAUUUUUUGACAUUUUUGAGUGGCAUUGUGACAGCAGUAUAUCGGAGCAGCGUAGGGGCAAAUACAUAAAAUGCAGGCGUACUGACUUUGUAUGAGUUUGCAUUUAUUAGGCCUGGUCAUGUAUGCCAAUUCACAGGCAUAUCUGAGUAUAUGAAAACAAAUAAUCCUAAUAAAAUUGUUACGAUAAAUAUAUAAACAGUACAAAAAAGAUGGGAUGAAAGAAAGGCAGUUCUAAGAAAGAAGUUUAUAACCAUAAACACCUGUACUAAGGAAAAAAAUAACUCAACCAAACUUACUUUACACCUGAAAGAAUUAGAAGAAAAAACUAAGCCCUAAGUUAGUAGAAGGGAAAUAACAAAGAUCAGAGCAAAACUAAAUGAAAUAGAGACCAAAAAAAAAAAAAAAAA